ACGUACGCUGGCGGCACGCCUAACACAUGCAAGUCGAACGAAGUAGCAAUACUUAGUGGCAGACGGGUGAGUAACAUGUAGGUAUCUGCCCUUUGGCCUGGAAUAACACGAGGAAACUUGUGCUAAUACCGGAUAAGUCUUUACGGAGAAAGCUUUAUGCACCAUUGGAUGAGCCUGCACUUGAUUAGUUUGUUGGUGGGGUAAUGGCCUACCAAGACUGUGAUCAAUAGCUGAUUUGAGAGGAUGAUCAGCCACAUUGGGACUGAGACACGGCCCAAACUCCUACGGGAGGCAGCAGUGGGGAAUCUUGCACAAUGGAGGAAACUCUGAUGCAGCGAUGCCGCGUGAGUGAAGAAGGCCUUUGGGUUGUAAAGCUCUUUCGUCGGGGAAGAAAAUGACUGUACCCGAAUAAGAAGGUCCGGCUAACUUCGUGCCAGCAGCCGCGGUAAUACGAAGGGACCUAGCGUAGUUCGGAAUUACUGGGCUUAAAGAGUUCGUAGGUGGUUGAAAAAGUUAGUGGUGAAAUCCCAGAGCUUAACUCUGGAACUGCCAUUAAAACUUUUCAGCUAGAGUAUGAUAGAGGAAAGCAGAAUUUCUAGUGUAGAGGUGAAAUUCGUAGAUAUUAGAAAGAAUACCAAUUGCGAAGGCAGCUUUCUGGAUCAUUACUGACACUGAGGAACGAAAGCAUGGGUAGCGAAGAGGAUUAGAUACCCUCGUAGUCCAUGCCGUAAACGAUGUGUGUUAGACGUUGGAAAUUUAUUUUCAGUGUCGCAGGGAAACCGAUAAACACACCGCCUGGGGAGUACGACCGCAAGGUUAAAACUCAAAUGAAUUGACGGGGACCCGCACAAGUAGUGGAGCAUGUGGUUUAAUUCGAAGAUACGCGCAGAACCUUACCAACACUUGACAUGUUCGUCGCGACUCUAAGAGAUUAGAGUUUUCGGUUCGGCCGGACGAAACACAGGUGCUGCAUGGCUGUCGUCAGCUCGUGUCGUGAGAUGUUGGGUUAAGUCCCGCAACGAGCGCAACCCUCACUUUUAGUUGCCAUCAUUAAGUUGGGCACUCUGAAAGAACUGCCAGUGAUAAGCUGGAGGAAGGUGGGGAUGACGUCAAGUCCUCAUGGCCCUUACGUGUUGGGCUACACACGUGCUACAAUGGUAUCUACAACAGGAAGCAAGACUGCGAAGUUAAGCAAAUCCCUAAAAGAUACCUCAGUUCGGAUUGCACUCUGCAACUCGAGUGCAUGAAGCUGGAAUUACUAGUAAUCGUGGAUCAGCGUGCCACGGUGAAUGCGUUCCCGGGUCUUGCACUCACCGCC
Molecule: ribosomal RNA, 1318 nt
Filed under: uncultured Alphaproteobacteria bacterium
Lineage: Bacteria; Pseudomonadati; Pseudomonadota; Alphaproteobacteria
Description: bacterial SSU rRNA
Rfam family: Bacterial small subunit ribosomal RNA
Source: RNAcentral